RNAcentral lists this non-coding RNA (48 nucleotides) under Schistosoma mattheei. Lineage: Eukaryota; Metazoa; Platyhelminthes; Trematoda; Strigeidida; Schistosomatidae. The record is from RNAcentral.
AUUCAACUGAUGAGUCCCAAAUGGGACGAACCACGCGUCAAACUGGAU